This 462-nucleotide ribosomal RNA is filed under the name uncultured bacterium. RNAcentral describes it as "bacterial SSU rRNA". It matches the Rfam family "Bacterial small subunit ribosomal RNA", at positions 29 to 506 of the family's 1533-position model. The record is from RNAcentral.
ACGAACGCUGGCGGCGUGUCUUAAGCAUGCAAGUUGAGCGGCAAGGGGGAGCAAUCCCCCCUAGAGCGGCGGACUGGUGAGUAACACGUGGGUGACCUGCCUUUGUCAUGGGGAUAGCCAUUAGAAAUAGUGGGUAAUACCGAAUACGCUUGCACACGUAGAGGUGUGUAAGGAAAGGCGCUACGGCGCCGGACGAAGAUGGGCCCGCGUCCCAUUAGCUAGUUGGUGAGGUAACGGCCCACCAAGGCGAUGAUGGGUAGGCGGCCUGAGAGGGUGUACGCCCACAUUGGGACUGAGAUACGGCCCAAACUCCUACGGGAGGCAGCAGCUAAGAAUAUUCCGCAAUGGACGAAAGUCUGACGGAGCGACGCCGCGUGGAUGACGAAGGCCGAAAGGUUGUAAAAUCCUUUUAUAUGUCAAGAAAAUGACGGUAGCAUAUGAAUAAGCACCGGCUAACUCCGU